This 253-nucleotide ribosomal RNA is filed under the name uncultured bacterium. RNAcentral's name for it is "partial 16S ribosomal RNA". It matches the Rfam family "Bacterial small subunit ribosomal RNA", at positions 524 to 776 of the family's 1533-position model. The record is from RNAcentral.
UACGGAGGGUGCGAGCGUUGUCCGGAAUCAUUGGGCGUAAAGGGCGCGUAGGUGGCGGGACAAGCGUGCGGUGAAAGCUCGGGGCUCAACCCCGCGUCGGCCAUGCGAACUGUUUUGCUUGAGCACUGUAGAGGCAGGCGGAAUUCCGGGUGUAGCGGUGGAAUGCGUAGAGAUCCGGAAGAACACCGGUGGCGAAGGCGGCCUGCUGGGCAGUAGCUGACACUGAGGCGCGACAGCGUGGGGAGCAAACAGG